Molecule: long non-coding RNA, 112 nt
Organism: Selaginella moellendorffii
Lineage: Eukaryota; Viridiplantae; Streptophyta; Lycopodiopsida; Selaginellales; Selaginellaceae
Exons: 3
Source: RefSeq, a predicted model, not a curated record
CGUCUGGAGGCAAAGAGCAGUUUCCAUUUCUCUUGGAUCCAAACACCGGCGUGUCAAUGUACGAGAGCUCCGAUAUUGUCAACUACUUGUUCCAGGAAUAUGGUGAGAGAAG